GACUGGAGUGGCGCGUGGGAAUCUACCCAACUCUGCGGAAUAACUCAGGGCAAACUUGGACUAAUACCGUAUACGUCCUUCGGGAGAAAGAUUUAUCGGAGUUGGAUGAACCCGCGUUGGAUUAGCUAGUUGGUGGGGUGAAGGCCUACCAAGGCGAUUAUCCAUAGCUGGUCUGAAAAGACCAUCAACCACACUGGGACUGACACACGGCCCAGACUCCUACGGGAGGCAGCAACGGGGAAUAUUGCACAAUGGGCGCAGGCCUGAUCCAGCCAUGCCAUGGGAGUGAGGAAGGCCCUCUGGUUGUAAAGCUCUUUCAACGGUGAAGAUAAUGACGGUAACCGUAGACCAAGCCCCGGCUAACUUCAUGCCCCCAUCCGUGGUCAUACGAACGGGGCUAGCGUUGUUCGGAAUUACUGGGUGUAUACCGGACGUAAGCCGAUCGAUCACUUAGGGGUGAAAUCCCACGCCUCAUCCCUGGAACUGCCUCUAAUACUGGCGAUCUGGAAUUCCAGAGAGGUGAGUGGAAUUCCCAGUGUGGAAGUGAAAUUCGAAAAUAUUCGAAUGAACACCAGUGGAGAAUGCUGCUAUCUGGGUCGAUACUGA
This 606-nucleotide ribosomal RNA is filed under the name Thiobacillus sp. DNB9. Its description in RNAcentral is "bacterial SSU rRNA". It matches the Rfam family "Bacterial small subunit ribosomal RNA", at positions 100 to 743 of the family's 1533-position model. The record is from RNAcentral. Lineage: Bacteria; Pseudomonadati; Pseudomonadota; Betaproteobacteria; Nitrosomonadales; Thiobacillaceae.